Molecule: long non-coding RNA, 574 nt
Organism: Dicentrarchus labrax (European seabass)
Lineage: Eukaryota; Metazoa; Chordata; Actinopteri; Moronidae
Exons: 3
Source: RefSeq, a predicted model, not a curated record
CGUUUCUGAAAGGAAAAUUGAAUGACCAAAAGAUACACGGACCGAUGAGAGGCAAGGGACAGACGGAAAGAGAAGUCAUGCUACAGUUUGGAGGAUCAUCUCCCGCAACCAGCAGGAUCAACAACCACACCUCCUCACUGUUAGGCGUCAGAAGAACUGGAUUGACAGCUUCUUCAUCACCAUGGAUAAGCAUCUCAUCUCAUGCCAGGCAAACCACUUGUCACAGUUGAUGCUGUGACACUUGGGGGUGUGUUCCUUGUUUUCUGUUUCUCCUGUGGUUCUGUCUGUGGGUGUGUGUUAUGCCUGGCAGUGAGCUGAUCACCUGGUGGAGUUGCACACCUGCUGGCAAUCCUCAUCAGUGCCUGGCCUUAAGAAGUGGGGUUACCUGAGACUCGUCGCCAGAUUAUUCCUUACCCAUGAUUCCUGCACCUGGAGUGUUUUGUGUUGCCUUGAGGAUCUUUUGGAGCGCUGGUUGCCACUCUUCAGGACCUGCCUGCCCCUGCUCUCAUCUUGCCCUUUUCAAGCACAGUUCCACUUCUACUCAGUUCUUUGUGAAUAAAACCCUUGACCUCAA